RNAcentral lists this ribosomal RNA (460 nucleotides) under uncultured bacterium. RNAcentral's name for it is "partial 16S ribosomal RNA". It matches the Rfam family "Bacterial small subunit ribosomal RNA", at positions 338 to 795 of the family's 1533-position model. The record is from RNAcentral.
CCUACGGGAGGCAGCAGUGAGGAAUAUUGGUCAAUGGACGAGAGUCUGAACCAGCCAAGUAGCGUGAAGGAUGCCUGCCCUAUGGGUUGUAAACUUCUUUUAUAUGGGAAUAAAAUGGUCCACGUGGGGGAUUUGGUAUGUACCAUAUGAAUAAGGAUCGGCUAACUCCGGGCCAGCAGCCGCGGUAAUACGGAGGAUCCGAGCGUUAUCCGGAUUUAUUGGGUUUAAAGGGAGCGUAGGGGGAUUGGUAAGUCAGUUGUGCAAGUUUGCGGCUCAACCGUAAAAUUGCAGUUGAAACUGGCAGUCUUGAGUACAGUAGUGGUGAGCGGAAUUCGUGGUGUAGCGGUGAAAUGCUGAGAUAUCACGCAGAACUCCGAUUGCGAAGGCAGUUCACUGGACUGCAACUGACACUGAGGCUCGAAAGUGUGGGUAUCAAACAGGAUUAGAUACCCUGGUAGUC